AUGAACACAUCGCCAACUUAUGUCAAGACACAAGAAUUGCCAAAACCUCCUGAACAUUGCACUGUAGCCAUAUUAAAACGUUGGCUUAGCUGUAGAGGAGCUAAAGUUGGUGGGAAAAGGAAUGAGCUAAUCAAAAGGGUUAAUGACUAUAUUACGUCUGGUCUAGAUAAAAAUCUUGUCGAUCCUGAUGGUGGAAUAAAUCUCCAGAAUAAGYGAGUGAAACUUAAUCUACAAGAAGCUGAACAAACAACUCUCAUUAACUUUCCCACGGAGGGAUUCAAUGUUGGAAUAUUGUCUGGGAUUAAUGUUGGCUAUUCUCAAAUCUGGAAAUUUUUGAUUGACGAUGUUGAGUUUAAGAAACAAUUAUCUGUGGAGAAACCCAUUGUAAAGGGGUAUAAUUUUUAUAAAUCAGGCAAGGUGCUUGGUA
This is an RNA transcript of Exaiptasia diaphana, 427 nucleotides long. RefSeq lists it as uncharacterized. Lineage: Eukaryota; Metazoa; Cnidaria; Anthozoa; Actiniaria; Aiptasiidae. The record is from RefSeq and is a predicted model, not a curated record. The transcript is spliced from 2 exons.